Molecule: ribosomal RNA, 441 nt
Filed under: uncultured bacterium
Lineage: Bacteria
Description: bacterial SSU rRNA
Rfam family: Bacterial small subunit ribosomal RNA
Source: RNAcentral
CUACGGGAGGCAGCAGUGGGGAAUCUUGCGCAAUGGGCGAAAGCCUGACGCAGCAACGCCGCGUGGGGGAUGAAGGCUCUCGGGUUGUAAACCCCUUUCAGCAGGGACGAAUUUUGACGGUACCUGCAGAAGAAGCCCCGGCUAACUACGUGCCAGCAGCCGCGGUAAUACGUAGGUGGCGAACGUUAUCCGGAAUCACUGGGCGUAAAGGGUCCGCAGGUGGCAUGUCAAGUCGAUUGUGAAAGCUCCCGGCUCAACUGGGAGAGGACGGUCGAAACUGGCAAACUAGAGUCCGACAGAGGUCGGCGGAAUUCCCGGUGUAGUGGUGGAAUGCGUAGAUAUCGGGAGGAACGCCAAAAGCGAAAGCAGCCGGCUGGGUCGAGACUGACACUGAGGGACGAAAGCGUGGGUAGCGAACAGGAUUAGAUACCCUGGUAGUCC